GACGAACGCUGGCGGCGUGCUUAACACAUGCCAGUCGAACGGAAAGGCCCUGCUUUUGUGGGGUGCUCGAGUGGCGAACGGGUGAGUAACACGUGAGUAACCUGCCCUUGACUUUGGGGUAACUUCAGGAAACUGGGGCUAAUACCCGAUAGGAGCUCCUGCUGCAUGGUGGGGGUUGGAAAGUUUCGGCGGUUGGGGAUGGACUCGCGGCUUAUCAGCUUGUUGGUGGGGUAGUGGCUUACCAAGGCUUUGACGGGUAGCCGGCCUGAGAGGGUGACCGGCCACAUUGGGACUGAGAUACGGCCCAGACUCCUACGUGAGGCAGUAGGGGGGAAUAUUGCACAAUGGGCGGAAGCCUGAUGCAGCAACGCCGCGUGCGGGAUGACGGCCUUCGGGUUGUAAACCGCUUUCGCCUGUGACGAAGCGUGAGUGACGGUAAUGGGUAAAGAAGCACCGGCUAACUACGUG
RNAcentral lists this ribosomal RNA (468 nucleotides) under uncultured bacterium. RNAcentral describes it as "partial 16S ribosomal RNA". It matches the Rfam family "Bacterial small subunit ribosomal RNA", at positions 28 to 507 of the family's 1533-position model. The record is from RNAcentral.